ACUUUCCGGAAUCCACGAGGAUGAGAACCUCCGGGGGCAAGAGGUUCGACUCGAGCGGAGCGAGAGAACGUUGCGCCAGCAACGGCCCGCAGUGGCGAGUAAUCCUCUAUCACCGACCA
RNAcentral lists this small RNA (119 nucleotides) under Citrobacter pasteurii. RNAcentral's name for it is "RtT sRNA". It matches the Rfam family "RtT RNA". From Rfam's summary of the family: This family represents a bacterial cis-regulatory element known as RtT RNA. The exact function of RtT is unknown although it is thought that it may be involved in changing the cellular response in relation to amino acid starvation. Lineage: Bacteria; Pseudomonadati; Pseudomonadota; Gammaproteobacteria; Enterobacterales; Enterobacteriaceae. RNAcentral also lists the same sequence under 2 other names. The record is from RNAcentral.